This is a long non-coding RNA of Sapajus apella (tufted capuchin), 271 nucleotides long. RefSeq lists it as uncharacterized. The transcript is spliced from 3 exons. The record is from RefSeq and is a predicted model, not a curated record. Lineage: Eukaryota; Metazoa; Chordata; Mammalia; Primates; Cebidae.
UAAAUGCCCAUCAACUGAGUGGAUAAAGAAAAUGUGGAAUAUAUACACUAUGGAAUACUACUCAGCCAUAAAAAGGAAUAAAAUAAUGGCAUUUGCAGCAACCUGGACGGAUCAGGAGACCAUUAUUCUACGUGAAGUGAAUCAGGAAUGGAAAACAAAACAUUGUAUGUUCUUACUUAUAAGUGGGAGCUAAACUAUAAGGAUGCAAAGGCAUAAGGAGGAUACAAUGGACUUUUGGGACUUGGGGAGAAGGAUGAAAUGGGGCAAGAGA